RNAcentral lists this ribosomal RNA (256 nucleotides) under uncultured bacterium. RNAcentral's name for it is "partial 16S ribosomal RNA". It matches the Rfam family "Bacterial small subunit ribosomal RNA", at positions 524 to 776 of the family's 1533-position model. The record is from RNAcentral.
UACGUAGGGGGCAAGCGUUGUCCGGAUUUAUUGGGCGUAAAGAGCGUGUAGGCGGCCGUACAGGUCAGCUGUGAAAACUCGAGGCUCAACCUCGAGACGUCGGUUGAAACCGUACGGCUAGAGUCCGGAAGAGGAGAGUGGAAUUCCCGGUGUAGCGGUGAAAUGCGCAGAUAUCGGGAAGAACACCCGUGGCGAAGGCGGCUCUCUGGGACGGUACUGACGCUGAGACGACGAAAAGCGUGGGGGAGCGAACAGG